This is a long non-coding RNA of Tympanuchus pallidicinctus (lesser prairie-chicken), 1176 nucleotides long. RefSeq lists it as uncharacterized. The transcript has 5 exons. NCBI's taxonomy places the organism in Eukaryota, Metazoa, Chordata, Aves, Galliformes, Phasianidae. The record is from RefSeq and is a predicted model, not a curated record.
CAGCCGGUGCAGGGUGGCAGCAGCAGGGUGGAAGCCCAGCGUGAGGACUGCGAGAAAGACUUUGUUGGAUGCAGCAGGAAAGCACAGCCGCUGGUGGAUGCCAGUGUCCGCUCCUGAGGCUCUGCGCCAAGCUCUGCCCAGUGCUGAUGGGAUGCCAGUGCCACCUGCUGCUCUUAAGAAAAGGUAGGUUUGAUUUCUUUUGGUUUCCAUAGCAUUUGCUACACUUUCAUUCUGUCUCCUUUUUUUUUUUUUUUUCUUUUUGCUCUCAAUAAAUGGCAGGUUCAAUUCAUUUUGGCUCCUGUAGUGUUUGCUACACUUGUGUUCUGUUUCUCUUCUCUUUUUUCCAUGUUGCCUGGCGGUGCCUGGCUGGAGUUCCCAUGACCCCCGGACCCACUUGUGACCAAGUGAGGUGCCAAAAACAGAGGUAUCUCCUAAGCAGGCUUGUGCUGAGUGCUGUCCUCGUCUUGGGGAUUGGCGACUCCACCACCAGAAGCAGCAGGCAUUUGGGGAUGUCCAAGGUUCCGCAGUGAACGUGUCCUGUUCCUGGUAAAGGUGUGGGCGUUCCUGGACACGAAGGUAUCUAUCUUCAUGCCUUGCCCAUGUGCCCAGUCCCCCACCAGAUGCUGUUUGCCUUUUGGCCCCCCUGAUUUGCUGCACUGCUGCGCCCUGAUCCUUGCAGAGGGGCUCUCAUUGGUCACCGGCAGCGCCGUCCCGCCCUCGCCAGCCUGUGAUUGGUCAUCGGCAGUGCCGUCCCGCCCUCAUGUGUCUCUCAUUGGUGAUCGACAGCACCGUCCCGCCCUAUCAGCAUCUCAUUGGUCAUCGGCAGCGCUCUCCCGCCCCCGCCAGCCUUUCGGUGGUAAUCGUUAACGCCGUCCCACCUUCAUGUGCCUCUCUUUGGUCAUCGGCAGCGCUGUCCUUCCCUCGCCAGUCUUUCAUUGGUCAUCUACAGCUCCAUCCCGCCUCCGCCAGCAUCUCAUUGGACAGCAGCAGCCUUUUUCCCCGCCUUUUUCCCCGCCUUUUUCCCCGCCUUUUUCCCCGCCUUUUUCCCCGCCUUUUUCCCCGCCUUUCUCUUCACCUUCCCCUGGCCCCUUUUCCCCUUUCCUUUUCCUUCUUCUCAUGUCCUGUUUUUUCCUUCCAGGUCUCCUUUUUACUCUCCCUUCCCCCCUUUUAUCUCCC